UCCGGAAAGUUUGAAGUUUCAACCGUUGAAACUGAACUGGUUCGAACUGGUUGGAUGGAUGGAUGAUGGAUGGUGAUUGGGUAGACGGGCAGGCGUCAUUGCCAUUGCUUUAGCUCGUGCUUAUUGAGUACUUAUUUUUUGUAAUAUCUUUAAUUUCCGUGGCCGUUCAUUAUAAUUGGGUGGUGGAGGUUAAAUGUUAAAUAACACAUAUGCCAAUCCAGCGGAAGUUACACCAACAUCAUCAUCAUUAUGCAAUCGCCAUCGUUGUUGCAGCGACGAGUGUCGUAUUUUGUGAUAUUUCUUGUGACGACUCUUGUGGACAAAUACCAGCAUGGAAGACUUAAUAACAAUUGGGGUUUACAUUGCGAGACAACUGAGAUCAUGAGCGACGCCACAGCAGUCGGUCUGUGGAUUGCCCACCUGAGUGUCCUUAAAUGUGCAAUGAAAGCUCACCACACAACACACCGUAUUUAAUGUCCCUUGUGGAAGAUGGCAUGUCUAAGCAACCUGUAUCCUGGCACUAAGUUGCUGCUGUUUUUGGCCGGGUUCGAACCAGCGAUCUCGGGAUCAGAAGGCGAACAGACUCACUCACCAGGGCCGGUUCAUGGACAACUUGAACACCACAAUUAUGUUAACUCUGCCAUCAAGUAAUUCAGUUUCCUGCAUAUGUUUUGUAACAAUUGAACUUCAGUUUUGUAAGCCUGAAAGCUAAGCUUAGAACCACCUCUUAUAAUAUAGUGACUGUAUUUGAUGUGUGAAUGUGUUCACACCUCUUAAAAAGCUAAUAAAACAAAAAUCUUGAUGA
Long non-coding RNA from Ornithodoros turicata, 805 nucleotides. RefSeq lists it as uncharacterized. The transcript is spliced from 2 exons. Lineage: Eukaryota; Metazoa; Arthropoda; Arachnida; Ixodida; Argasidae. The record is from RefSeq and is a predicted model, not a curated record.